GGAAAUCUCAAGCUGUAUGGAGCAGCAAACACCUCAGUUCUUGUUGUUCUAAUAUCACUUGUAAUUGAAACAAUGAUGGAUUUCUCUGGACUUUCAACCCACACGUCGGGUCGCUCUUUUGAAUUAUUUGUUACUUGAUAAAAGGUUGGUGGUGCCUGCUUCGGGUACUCAUACUUCCUGAAAUAAGGUUUUAAUCGAGUUACUAUGGUAUUGCGUUCCUCA
RNAcentral lists this unclassified non-coding RNA (222 nucleotides) under Hevea brasiliensis (rubber tree). The record is from RNAcentral. Lineage: Eukaryota; Viridiplantae; Streptophyta; Magnoliopsida; Malpighiales; Euphorbiaceae.